Molecule: long non-coding RNA, 2373 nt
Filed under: Sus scrofa (pig)
Lineage: Eukaryota; Metazoa; Chordata; Mammalia; Artiodactyla; Suidae
Description: lncRNA (ENSSSCG00030012857.1)
Source: RNAcentral
GUUUUGGCACCUGUUCCCACUAACUUACUUUCGUGACUUGGAUUAUGACCUCCCCAUGUAAGGGAAGGCAGUAUAGUUACUGCCCCAUCCCCAUUCCUACCACUGAAAUAAAAUUCAUGUCUCCUACACUUCUAAACACUACUAGAUUCAAAUAGGCUGACAAUCUGCAACUCCACCUAAAGAUCUCUCAAAUCUUGCAGAAGCAAAUGGGGCAUGCAUGUUUCUCUUCAAAUCUUCUCAACCCUCCUUGGACUUCAGCCAUUGCUGCCCCAACCCAUUCUAUACUGCUUUGACCACCUUUGCACAAGCAUAACCUGACAGACUUCUCUUAGAACCACACAGUUUACCUACAUCUCACUUUCUACUCCAGAGCUUCUCCAGUACAAUGAUGUGGGAUACUGUGGCAAUUCGCCUGGCACACAGGAUGUUAAUUCCCAAAGGUCACCCUUGAUCAGUGGAAGAUGGGACUCACAGGAAUCCAGUGUGUAAAUAUGUUUCCAUUUCUUCUGUCAAAAAAUAAUUCAGAGACUCAUCUAAUAAUGCUCCCCAAGGUGGUCACUUGCAGUGGUGUCCAAUACAAUUGGCCUACUGUCCUUUCACUUUACUAUCCAUAACUCUUCCUCUUCCCUCUAAGAUCUCGUUCUACCCUAAGGACUUAACAUACACAACUCUGGCUCAGCCUCUGUAUUUGAAGAAACCCAGGUUAAAACAGAGAUACCAAAAGUAGCCACAGAAAGCUGUCAGGAUGGGAUUUUGGAACUAGCAAUAAGCACUAAUUGCUGGUUGUAAGUAAGGUAGGCAUAACUUCAAUAGUUUCAUAUAUCCAAAAAUAGUCCUACAAAUAACAUAUUCUAAUAAAUCAUAUAACAAUCAUAUAAUGUUUUUAAUCUCUCAAUAAUAAAAAUGUAUCAACUAUGCUAGAGGAAACUUUGAAUUAUCUUUCUAGUUUCUCUGUAGAAAAUGUUACAAAGUUGUCAUAUGGAGAAGAAAUCAAAGUGUAUACAGCUAUAAAAAGUAAGAUUAAUAGUAUUAUGCAUUUGAGAUUGGGCAUAAAUUUUAUGUUUUUUUUUUUAUUUUCUAGUGUUUUGUGGUAUUAUUUCAGGGGUUGGUAAGUGACCUGAGCUAGUCUAAUUUGAAUUUCAGAUCUUAUGAUGAUGAACGGUCAUUUUCGCUGGAUUCAAACCUGAAAGAUUAUUGUCCGAGGGGCUAUAAGCUACUUUCUUGAAAGCAUGUAGACUUAGAUAAUGGAGCCAAUAGCAAAUAGGAAAUGCCUAAAAAUUAAGAAAGAAGAAAAUAAUUUGACUCCUAGAAUAAGUGGAAUCUGAAACCACUGUUCCAUUAUAUGAGGCAAUAAAUUCCUCUUUCUUAGACAUUUGAGUUGGAUUUUCCAUUACUCACUACAGAAAGCAAAGGUACACAGGGAUUACUAUCCUCUUGAACACAAUGAAUGACAAAACAUUUGGCUUUCUGGUAUAAAAACCAUAUCUAAUUAUUUCCAAUGUUAUUUCAAACAUGGCCCAUGACAUCCUGAGUAAACUGUACUUAUUCCUCAUUCUUAAUUUUCUUAUGAUUGCUUCAGGGAAAACUAUUUUGGUUUUCAUUAGUUUAUUUUCUCUGAUUUGCAUUCUUAUAGCACCUUAUAUUUCAUUUUUAUAUUAUAUAUAAAUAGAUGAUAGAUUGAUAAAUGGGUAGACAGAUGAUAGAUAGAUGAUAAAUUUGUCUUCUGUAUCUCCCAUAAGACUUUAAGCUCCAAGAGGGAGGCUUACCAUCUUCAUUUAUUUUCAAAGGUAUAUGCCUGGCAUCAAGCCCAAUGUCUGUAUGAAAAGAAUACUAGUUAAGUGAGAAAAUAGUGCCUGAUGGAAUGAUAGAAUGAAUGAAUUAUUUAACUCAUAUAAACAUGAAAAGCCAGAAUCUUCAAAUUGCUAAUAAAUACAUGAGUAUGUAUAUACCCAUAUACAAUUAUGUAUGUAUACUUAUUUUAUACAUAUUUGUGUAUGUAUGUGUGUACAUAUAUAGAUACAUAUAUGUGUGAACUUAUAUAUGUAGACACACAGAGAAACAUACAUGUUAAAGAAUGUGGAGGGAAGAUCUAUACAGGCCUGAAUGCCAUGUAAUAGUCACAGUGCUCAGGAUCCCUUGAAAACCCAUUUGAUCUUAGAGUGGAGUAGGUAGUAGAGCAGAUGACAGAAAAAGAGGAAGGUAUGCUCUAAAUGCAAUCAGCAAAUACUAUUUUGUUUUAUGUUGAGAUAUUUUUUUCUACACAAAUUACAUAAGAAAAUUACACUACCUUGGUAUAAUAUGUGUGAUGAGGAUGGCUAAACAUUUGCAAUAAGAAUAAGUCAUUAAAUAUCCUGGGGCGAAAAUACCCAUAAU